CUGGAGCCCAUCCCACGGCGUCAUCUGCGCCUGCCUGUCCUGGCCGACGUGGCUACCCCAGACAAGGCCCUGGGAAGGCUCUCUCCAGUUCAGUGGAGAGGGCCCAAGUCACUCACAGCCCCUGCCAGUGUGCAACUCGGAUCAGACAGGUUGCAGUUGCUGUCUCUGAGUCCUGGGAGGGAUUUGAUCUCUGAGUCUGAGGAGCAUCCCGGUGGGUCAGCAGGGAGGGAAUGCCUGUCUCUGCAGCCGCCCAGCCCCACUAUCACCCACCCAGGAACAGACUCUGACUCGGAAAGCUGUCACCAAAGUAAAUAUAAUUUGGUUCCUGCAAGAAUGAAACACAAAAUGAAGAAGCAGAAAAGAACUAAAAGAAAAAGGUUGGUGAAAUAACACAAAAAGCCUUCAUCAGGAACCUUUCAGAUGAAUGGGAGAUAAUGUA
Esox lucius (northern pike) is the source of this 439-nucleotide long non-coding RNA. The record is from Ensembl. Lineage: Eukaryota; Metazoa; Chordata; Actinopteri; Esociformes; Esocidae.